Triticum aestivum (bread wheat) is the source of this 819-nucleotide long non-coding RNA. RefSeq lists it as uncharacterized. NCBI's taxonomy places the organism in Eukaryota, Viridiplantae, Streptophyta, Magnoliopsida, Poales, Poaceae. The record is from RefSeq and is a predicted model, not a curated record. The transcript is spliced from 2 exons.
ACCAUUUUGAGCAGUACAAACAUCAGGCAAUACCUCACACCAACACACACACACACAUGUAUCAACUACCUAGGGUGUCUUUUAUCACCCCUGAGAAUGUCUUUUCUUCAAUGUACAAUGUAUCGUUGCAUCUUCUGGAUAUAUACCAUGCAUCAUCCAGAUAAAUAUGACAAUUUCUGUUUUUUAGGGUUCCACCUAAGCAACAAAGGCACCAUUCCACGCACGCGUGCGAGCGCGCACACACCAACCCACAACAACCUAUAGUGUCUUUUCAAUUUACACAACACAUCAUUGCAUCAUCCAGAUAUAUACAACCUUUUCUGUUUGGUUUAUUGUAAGGUUCCAUCAUCCAUCUCUAUAAGAAGGGAUCAGUGGUGCACUACUAAGUUAACCUAUUUGGAAUUCCAUCCUUCUUUGCUUGGGUGUUUAUUCCUGGAGAUAUGGAGGUCGACAAGGUCAAGAUGGCAAGCUUGUGCUUAAUUUUGCUCAUGUCACUCCUCUUGCUUCCUGCAGGAUCUGAAGGCCACUGCAGGCGGUUAAGCCAGACGUACCCUACUUCGCAAUGCAAGGGUGACCAAUGCACAGAGGACUGCGAACAUGAGGGUUACCCGUAUGCGGAGUGUGACACGGACCAUCAAUAUCCUGAACUUAGUUACUGCGCCUGCUUCUUUCCAUGCUGAUUCUGCCUCAAGUUGCUUCAGGAUGUGAAGCAACGUGCAAUAAGAUCUUAAGGCGAGCCGUCUGUAACAUCCAAAUAUUUCGAAAUUUGGAAUGUUGAAUAAAUUAGCCAAUCAAUAAAUAUAGUUGAUUUCCCUUGUU